This 775-nucleotide ribosomal RNA is filed under the name uncultured bacterium. RNAcentral describes it as "bacterial SSU rRNA". It matches the Rfam family "Bacterial small subunit ribosomal RNA", at positions 8 to 796 of the family's 1533-position model. The record is from RNAcentral.
AGAGUUUGAUCAUGGCUCAGAACGAACGCUGGCGGCGUGGAUCAGACAUGCAAGUCGAACGAGGUUAGUCUGGUAGCAAUACUGGGCUGACCUAGUGGCGAACGGGUGCGUAACACGUGACCAACCUACCUGAAAGUGGGGGAUAGCUCGGCGAAAGCCGGAUUAAUACCGCAUGUGAUCGUAAGAUUAAAGCAGCAAUGCGCUUUUAGAGGGGGUCGCGGCCUAUCAGCUAGUUGGUGAGGUAAAGGCUUACCAAGGCAGCGACGGGUAGCUGGUCUGAGAGGACGACCAGCCACACUGGAACUGAGACACGGUCCAGACACCUACGGGUGGCAGCAGUCGAGAAUUUUUCUCAAUGGGGGAAACCCUGAAGGAGCGACGCCGCGUGGAGGAUGAAGGCUUUCGGGUUGUAAACUCCUGUCAUCUGGGAACAAAACUCGCAAGAGCUUGAUAGUACCAGAAGAGGAAGAGACGGCUAACUCUGUGCCAGCAGCCGCGGUAAUACAGAGGUCUCAAGCGUUGUUCGGAUUCAUUGGGCGUAAAGGGCGCGUAGGCGGUGGGGUAAGUCUGGUGUGAAAUCUCGGAGCUCAACUUCGAAAUUGCACUGGAUACUGCUCUGCUAGAGGGCUGGAGAGGAGAUCGGAAUUCACGGUGUAGCAGUGAAAUGCGUAGAUAUCGUGAGGAAGACCAGUGGCGAAGGCGGAUCUCUGGACAGCUCCUGACGCUGAGGCGCGAAGGCUAGGGGAGCAAACGGGAUUAGAUACCCCGGUAGUCC